UUAUUGGAGAGUUUGAUCCUGGCUCAGGACGAACGCUGGCGGCGUGCCUAAUACAUGCAAGUCGAGCGGAGCUGAUGAGGUGCUUGCACCUCAGAUGCUUAGCGGCGGACGGGUGAGUAACACGUAGGCAACCUGCCCUCCAAGACUGACUGGGAUAACUACCGGAAACGGUAGCUAAUACCGGAUAAUUUAUUUCGCC
This 199-nucleotide non-coding RNA is filed under the name Paenibacillus sp. DMB20. Its description in RNAcentral is "partial 16S ribosomal RNA". It matches the Rfam family "Bacterial small subunit ribosomal RNA", at positions 1 to 187 of the family's 1533-position model. Lineage: Bacteria; Bacillati; Bacillota; Bacilli; Caryophanales; Paenibacillaceae. The record is from RNAcentral.